Molecule: long non-coding RNA, 1846 nt
Organism: Lactuca sativa (garden lettuce)
Lineage: Eukaryota; Viridiplantae; Streptophyta; Magnoliopsida; Asterales; Asteraceae
Source: RefSeq, a predicted model, not a curated record
UGUGUUCAAAUCGUCUUUAGUCGUUUUAUGCGAAUAUCGUGUUUGUCACACGUGUUUGCUUCUGCCUUUCCUUCCAGUUUCUUCCUUAUCCAAACCUUCUCUUCUCUUUCAUCCUUGUCAACACGCAGACACAAUAGAUCGACCGGAGGGGUUUUCCCGUGGGAAACAAAGGCGACUAGAUACCGCCACCACCGUCCGAGUUCGAGUCCAUGGUACCAUCACAAACCCAAGUACGGUUUAGUGAAUGUUGCAACCUGGGUUGUGUUAACAUUGAUCCACAUUCCACCGCCUUACUGCCUAUCUUCUCGAUUAUUCCUGUUUUUUUUUUCUGCUUCACCCCGCUCUUCCUCAUCCGUUCUCUGUUGAUAUCGCCACCGCCAAGGAUUCACCGAAUCCACCGGUUCAAUGCCUGCGAUGUAUUUGGUGACGCCGCAAGAAUCGAUCAUGUGGGCGUGCCGAUGUGGAGGCGAUGCAAGCAGGUUAGUCGACGGACCUUUUAAUAUACCUCUGACUGUAAUCUUUUGGACCCGAAGUCUUUUUCGAGCCGAGUAAUUUUCACCUGUCCGGUGUGGCUUCUGUGCAACGGAGGUGAUUAGGUCAGUGCAAGCAUGAGCAAUGAACCCUAAACCCACCAAUGUUUCUCUUUCUCCAAUUCCCCCGUCUUUCCCAUAUUUAGGAUUUUAAUUUCUUCUUGGUUUUUUAUUAGGGAUUUAUGGUUCCUGAGGACACCUUCAUUGUUUCCUCAAAUUCUUGCCAUCAGGUUAAGAUUUAACAUAAGCUUUCAAUAACGUUGUCUCUUCAUGCCCUCUUCGUUUAUCAGUGACCACCGCACACCAACUAAACCUUGGUGCAACUGUGUUACUGUGAUGUCGUGUGCUGGAAAACGACCGUUGCUUUCUCUUAUUCAUCACUCCUAUGACAAAAAUGUUGUUAGGCCUUUCCUAUUCAACUGAAUUUUAUAUUCCCCAUUCCAAUUUUGGAGACACCUGCUCUAUGAAAAAGAAACUAAUUUGUCCGUUAUUAGAUACUUUUUUUGGUUCAAAGUUGGCAGGUUCAAAGAUGCACACCAACUGCUUGAUGAAAUGACUGAAAGAAUCGAUAUCUUCAAACAUAAGUUGGUGGUUCGUUUCUUGAAAUGGGAGAUUUGUAGACCAUUGAUUCAAGUUUAUAGUGAUUUGAAGUCAAACAGCUAUGUUAUUUUUUGAAUAUGAGGAACCAUCAGAAAAAUCUUUUGAUGUCAAUUUUUUAUCAAGGGAAAUCAAAUUUAUCAGGUCUUGAUGUCGUUUUCCUCAGGUUUGCAUUUAACAACCUACAAAAACAUUUUUUUUAGUUUUUUUUUCCUCCAUAGAAUACAAUUAUUAACUGUAAACUGCAUUACAUGUUUGCAAAUUUCGGUGCACUUGAGCAGCAUGGAUCUACAAGGAAUACAUUUUGACUAAAAUGCCACUAUAUACUAUUCUUUUAGUAAAAAAAAAAGAGAAUGAUUUUAACAUUUUUUUUGUCUAAAAUGCACCUGCGUACUGUUUUUUUUUGAUAAAAAGAAUAAUGAUUUCAACAGCUUUUACCAAACUGCCCUUGCAUACUGUUUUUUUGGUAAAAAAAUAGUUAUUGUAAGAGUUUUUUGGGUAAAAAUUUAAUGAUUUCAUAGUUUUUUACCAAACUACCAAUGCAUACAAUUUUUAUUGGUAAAAGUUACUGACUUCAAGAGUUUUUGACGAAAAUUUCCUGUGUAUACUGUUUAACAAGUUUGACCCUAUCUGUUGUAUUCCGGUUAAUAUUGAAUGUCAUUUUCGGAAGUUUAUUGCUUGUAAGACCAUUUACUGCUGGAAAUAUGUCAAAUUUUUUA